UACAGAGGUGGCAAGCGUUGUUCGGAAUUACUGGGCGUAAAGGGCGCGUAGGCGGCCCGUCAAGUCCCGUGUGAAAGCCCCCGGCUCAACCGGGGAACUGCACGGGAAACUAGCAGGCUUGAGUUCGGGAGAGGGAAGCGGAAUUUCGGGUGUAGCGGUGAAAUGCGCAGAUAUCCGAAGGAACACCGGUGGCGAAGGCGGCUUCCUGGACCGACACUGACGUUCAGGCACGAAAGCGUGGGGAGCAAACAGG
This 253-nucleotide ribosomal RNA is filed under the name uncultured bacterium. RNAcentral describes it as "partial 16S ribosomal RNA". It matches the Rfam family "Bacterial small subunit ribosomal RNA", at positions 524 to 776 of the family's 1533-position model. The record is from RNAcentral.